This 237-nucleotide long non-coding RNA is filed under the name Vicia faba (fava bean). Lineage: Eukaryota; Viridiplantae; Streptophyta; Magnoliopsida; Fabales; Fabaceae. The record is from RNAcentral.
AUGUGGUGUAGCCGAUUCGCGGCGGAGACCAUCGGAAAAAGUGGAAUCGGGAUCUCCAAGAUCCUACUUAUCGCCGGAGCUAGUUACACCGGUACCGUCCUCAUCAAAAACGGAAAACUAUCGGAUAUAAUCGGUGAACUCCAGUCACUUGUGAAGGGAUUGGAAAAGUACGGCGAUCAGAAUGAUGAAGGCGGGGAUGGAAUCGGAAGCCAGCAUCGGAGCACCGUUGAUGGAUGA